This is an RNA transcript of Daucus carota subsp. sativus, 2595 nucleotides long. RefSeq lists it as uncharacterized. The transcript is spliced from 3 exons. The record is from RefSeq and is a predicted model, not a curated record. Lineage: Eukaryota; Viridiplantae; Streptophyta; Magnoliopsida; Apiales; Apiaceae.
AAGAUUACUCCCUCCGUCCCUUUUUAUCUGUCCAUUUUGGAAAAAAAAACACAUACCAAGGAAUAAUUGAUUGCAUGAACUUUUUCAUUAAAUACCUCUAAUUAAUAUCUUGAAAAUGGUGGAAUACUCCUACUUUAUGUCUUGAAAACAUGAAUUCAACCAAGUUUUAAAUAAGUCAAGCCUUGAAAAUUGAAAUUAUGAAGAUAUAUUUGAAAAACUAUCAUUAAAUUAGUUUUGAAAGUAUAAAUGGACAGAUAAAUAGGGACAAAUUUUUACUUCCAAAGUGGACAGAUAAAUAGGGACGGAGGGAGUAUUACAAUAUGUUGAUGAGACUUUACGAUGAUCUUGAUCAACUCAAGCCUCCACAUGGCUGUGAGUGUGGGAAGUGUAGUUGUAAUGUUGCUGAGAAGUACGCGAAAGACAAGGAAGAAGAGAAGUUGCAUCAGUUUUUGUUUGGUCUUGACGAUGAGUUGUAUGCAUUAAUGCGGAGUAAUUUGUUGGAUGAACUGCCACCAGUUAGUUUGGAGAGAUCAUUACAAGCACUACUUGAGGAAGAACAUUCUCGAGGGAUUAGGAAGGGUAAGGCUGAGAAGAAUGAGGCUCUUAUCUCUGAAAAGCCAGAGAAGUCUCGAGCAUUGGAUAAGCAACUUAUAGUACUACAAGCCCUGCUGACUGAAAGCGAACCUGAGGAGGAUGCUCGUCCUUUUUAUGAAAGUCGUCAUUUUGUUAGUAAUUUUUAUAGUUUGAAUCUUCGUGCUGGUGGUAUUUCAGCCCUUUCUCGUAUAGUGCAGGAUGGUGAUUUCAGGAUGAGUACCAUGGUGGCUAUGGGAUCCAGAAUUUAUAUUUUUGGAGACCGGAUACAGGGUGAUAGCUCUGCAGUUGAUCCUGAUUCACCAAAUAAAAGGGCAUCUUAUUUUCUAGAUUUGGCCACAUCUUCGCGUGGUUGGAAAAGAGUGGAUCCCCCUCUUACUCAUGAUCAGUUGCAAUUGUAUGGUCAUCAUGUCAUAUUUGGUGACAAGAUGUAUAUCUUUAGAGGUUCUAAUUCGAGGUUUUCUGGCCCUUGUGAGGUUUUUGAUCCUCAACUUGAUCAAUGUCGUCGCAUUAAAUCUCCACCAGGUGGAGAUGGUGGCGAGGAAGGAGGAAAAGUACAGCUCAAGAUAACUCCUCCAGUGUUGGCGGAUUACAAAAAUGACAGAAUCAUGGUACGCGUCAAUGAUUCAAUGUACGCCUACUAUCCUUCUCAGGAUCGAUGGGAGUGUGUGGUGGAGGCCUUUCUUGGAUGGUCUUCAUCUGUAGACCCUGUAACACUUGUAGAUGGGGUUAUCUAUAUUCAUUAUCGCAAAAUGAUGGGAUUCUUUGAGGCUUUUGAUACAGCCACCAAACAAUAUUUGAAUGUUCAAGUCUCCCCUGAUGCUGUUGAUAAUUAUCAAUAUUAUCUACAUCUACGCAGCUAUAAUGCUUUGUUACAUCUGGGCGAUGGCAUUCUCUGCUUGCUUGGUUCUACUUAUCAGGAUCACGAACCCGGCCAACCCCAAACCUCCGCCGUUCAUGCUGCUCAAUUCAAAGUCGAGCUCGUCAAAAACAAUGACACAAAGGAGGUGCUUGUCACUCCUAUUUCUUCCAAAUACCAUUAUAUUAAUUCUCGGUGCUAUGUUCUUCGUUACCUUCUUCUCUAGGUCUUUGCACCUUCGGUUCAUUAGCAGCUCAUAUUUCUCUUAAUCCAGCUGUGAAUACUAUGGUAAACUAGUUCAGUUGGCUUAUUUCCUAAUCUUUUGUGCAGGUUUUUGCGCGUUUGGUUCCUUAGCAGCACCCUUUUGUUUUCAGUCCAGCUGCGGAUACUUUCUACAGCUGGCACACAUAUCAUAAAUAUUUGUAGGAACACCGAACACAGAUAUUGUGUAAUCUCAUGAUUUAUACCUACCAGAGAAGGGACGAGACAAGAAAGCCAACUGAUGGAUUGCAUUCUGAACUCGAAAACAUUAGUUUGGAGGAUAAAAAUUAACAUUUCAGUGUCAUCAAAUUGAAUGACAUAUCAGGGGUCUUUUCAUUGUCCUAUUCCUAAUUUUCGCCUUUGUCUAUUUACUAAUAUUAACAAUCAGCAAUUUCUCUCAACUGUUUUUCAGCAAUUGACUUGUGAUUUGAAGGUGCUAAAGGUAUAAAGUUACAAGUAUUAGUGGUAGCCGUUGUGCCAGAAUUCUACUGUCAAAUCCCAGUACUACUGGUAUUUGUAAAUCGAUGUGAUUUGAGUUGAUAAAGCCUAGUGCAUUCUACAGAGAAUAGUUUGCACCAAACAAGAUGAAAAAACAGAGUUUAUUCCCGUGAAAAACUAGGAGGAAAUAACUAGGCAAGAGUUUAAGCUUAUAUAAUCACUUCAAAUUCGAUUCUUUGUUUGAGUUUAGAGUCACCUAUAGAUCCCCUGAUUCUGAUUAUGAAAUGAAGACAGUCCAUGGUAUCCUUGUAAACUUCUUACAAUUCUUGAACUUGAAAGGGUCCGGUUCCGGAUUGAUGCCAGAAAAAAACAUGUACAUAAUAGAUUGUUUUCAACGACAGCAGGGACCUAUUGUCUUUUUGAAACGAUCGAAUGAAUUUUUUUGA